This 899-nucleotide long non-coding RNA is filed under the name Sus scrofa (pig). RNAcentral's name for it is "lncRNA (ENSSSCG00015022090.1)". The record is from RNAcentral. Lineage: Eukaryota; Metazoa; Chordata; Mammalia; Artiodactyla; Suidae.
GCUCCUAGAGCGGCCGCCCCAGGGGCGGGAGGAAAACGCGUUUCCGGCGGGUGUCGGGCUCGGGAAUCGGCGGGUUGGCUCCGGGGUGCGGCGCUCAGGGCUACCCCUUGGCCAGGGCCUUCCCGCGGAGGACAGGAGCUCCAGAAAGAGAGGGGGACUGUGAGUGGGGAGGAGAAGCCGGCGGCGCAGACCGCGGUCCCCGGGGCGGUGCGGGGGCGCCUGUGAACUUAGCCGCCCCGGAGGCUCGUGCCGUGAGGCGCGAGGCUGGCGGCCGUUUCUCCUGGAAGGGCCAGCAGCCCGGCCCUCGCCGUCCCCUCUCUGAGGCCUCCGUCCUUCCAGAGCCCCGGGGAAAAUGCUUAACUAGAGAUUGGAGCCAUCGGACAAAAAUUAAAAUCACUCAGGAGGAGCAGACAGACAUUGGGUGCCUCUUGCUGUCACACUGAGAAGGACACGACCACACGUACGCAGACGUCCAGCCAGGAAGGCCUAACCUCUAUAUGCUAAUGAAGACACAGCCGACAGAGCUCAAGGGAGGAACAUUCUAGUAAAGGGAAAGUCUGUGCUUUUCCACCAGGUCACUGUCAUAAAAGACAAAGGCUGACCACUCCAGAUCAGAGGAGACUAAAGAGAAACGACAGUGUACUGCAAUACAUCAUGGCUAGCCUGGAUUUUGGACUACAGGGGCAGAUACUCCGUAAAGGAUAUCAUUGAGACAAUUGGCAAAAUGGAUGGUAAAUUCGAUACCAGAGUGCACCGAUGUUACAUCUAGUGAAGUGGAGAACUGUACCGCACUGGGGGAGGAAAUAUUAAGUAUUUCAGGGUAAAGGAACAGGAUGUAUGCAACUUAUUCUCAAAUAAUUUGGAAUAAAAGUCACAUGGAGAGAGAGAGAGAGGAAGUA